UACGAAGGUGGCGAGCGUUACUCGGAAUUACUAGGCGUAAAGGGCAGGUAGGUGGUUCGGUAAGUCUGUUGUGCAAGCUCCCGGCUUAACUGGGAGAGGUCAACGGAAACUGCCGGGCUUGAGUAUGGGAGAGGGUACUGGAAUUCCCGGUGUAGCGGUGAAAUGCGCAGAGAUCGGGAGGAACACCAAUGGCGAAAGCAGGUACCUGGACCAUUACUGACACUCAGCUGCGAAAGCUAGGGGAGCAAAC
Molecule: ribosomal RNA, 250 nt
Filed under: uncultured bacterium
Lineage: Bacteria
Description: partial 16S ribosomal RNA
Rfam family: Bacterial small subunit ribosomal RNA
Source: RNAcentral